AUGAGGGUUUUUUUCUGGGGAAAUGCUGCCAAUCGGCGUGAGAUCGUGGUGGUCGCUCGCUUACAAUGCUUCCCCUGCCCUCGACCAGCAGAGAUACGAGUGGUGGUGUGCAGAGCUGCAACUGUUUGUGAGCGGAGCUGUGAUCCUCAGCCAUCGGAGCAGCGGUGCGUGGUGCUAUCAGCAUGGGCAUGCACUGCUACGAAUUGCCUGAGGCAGCGGUGGGGUGCGGUGAACAGAGGGCAGCUGUGCUGCAAGCGGCAGACUGCUGGUGGUGCUGCGAAGCCUCAUGCCGGAGUUGCAAACAGGGUGACAGGGUCACACGACAGUGCUGCGAGGGCAAAGGGCCGUGUCAGGGCUAUGACACGGCAUGGUGGGAGGUGGAAGGUGGGAGAUACAAGGAGCCAUGACACGGCGAGGUGA
RNAcentral lists this ribosomal RNA (420 nucleotides) under Triticum aestivum (bread wheat). RNAcentral describes it as "partial small subunit ribosomal RNA". The record is from RNAcentral. Lineage: Eukaryota; Viridiplantae; Streptophyta; Magnoliopsida; Poales; Poaceae.